RNAcentral lists this microRNA precursor (122 nucleotides) under Arabidopsis thaliana (thale cress). Its description in RNAcentral is "microRNA MIR405". It matches the Rfam family "MIR405 microRNA precursor family". RNAcentral also lists the same sequence under 1 other name. Lineage: Eukaryota; Viridiplantae; Streptophyta; Magnoliopsida; Brassicales; Brassicaceae. The record is from RNAcentral.
UUAACCCAUUUAACAACUCAACCCAUCAAAUUAAAUGAGUUAUGGGUUGACCCAAUCCAUUUAACAAAAUGAGUUGGGUCAACCCAUAACUCAUUUGAUUAUGAGUUGAGUUGAGUUGGGUU